GCUCCGGUAGUAUAGUCCGGUCAAGUAUGCAGGCCUCUCGAGCCUGCGACCCGGGUUCAAAUCCCGGCCGGAGCA
RNAcentral lists this transfer RNA (75 nucleotides) under Candidatus Pelearchaeum maunauluense. Its description in RNAcentral is "tRNA-Glu". It matches the Rfam family "tRNA". From Rfam's summary of the family: Transfer RNA (tRNA) molecules are approximately 80 nucleotides in length. Their secondary structure includes four short double-helical elements and three loops (D, anti-codon, and T loops). Further hydrogen bonds mediate the characteristic L-shaped molecular structure. tRNAs have two regions of fundamental functional importance: the anti-codon, which is responsible for specific mRNA codon recognition, and the 3' end, to which the tRNAs corresponding amino acid is attached (by aminoacyl-tRNA synthetases). tRNAs cope with the degeneracy of the genetic code in two manners: having more than one tRNA (with a specific anti-codon) for a particular amino acid; and 'wobble' base-pairing, i.e. permitting non-standard base-pairing at the 3rd anti-codon position. The record is from RNAcentral. Lineage: Archaea; Thermoproteati; Nitrososphaerota; Candidatus Caldarchaeales; Candidatus Calditenuaceae.